UAGCUCGGGUUUCUCUUCAUUCACGUAUAAAUCUUUCGCCUUUUACUAAAGAUUUCCGUGGAGGGGAACGUUGACGAGUAUUGUUUAUUUUUUGAAGGCUUUGCUUUUAGCAAAGCUG
Molecule: small nuclear RNA, 118 nt
Filed under: Bario sanctaefilomenae (redeye tetra)
Lineage: Eukaryota; Metazoa; Chordata; Actinopteri; Characiformes; Acestrorhamphidae
Description: Moenkhausia sanctaefilomenae (redeye tetra) U5
Rfam family: U5 spliceosomal RNA
About the family: U5 RNA is a component of both types of known spliceosome. The precise function of this molecule is unknown, though it is known that the 5' loop is required for splice site selection and p220 binding, and that both the 3' stem-loop and the Sm site are important for Sm protein binding and cap methylation.
Source: RNAcentral